Cucurbita maxima (winter squash) is the source of this 762-nucleotide long non-coding RNA. RefSeq lists it as uncharacterized. The record is from RefSeq and is a predicted model, not a curated record. NCBI's taxonomy places the organism in Eukaryota, Viridiplantae, Streptophyta, Magnoliopsida, Cucurbitales, Cucurbitaceae. The transcript is spliced from 2 exons.
UUCUUAGAAGCAACGAAAAUUAGGGUUCAAUCCCAGCAUUUUACAGCAGCAACGAUGUUUGACAGAUUUAGGGUUAAUUUAUCGUCCUUCUUCCCGGUCUCUUGAUCGUAGAGAUUUUCAAUUUCAUGGGACUGAAGUUUGGCUCUUUGGUCAAUUUCGUAUGCCAUAGAGAUGAAUGCAGUUCCCUAAAUCAUCUCUUCAACCUCUUCACCCAUUUUCGCUAAGGUUUUUUCUCCUUGUGAAUAUUUUUGUCGAGGCUGAUACAUGAUUUAUCAUUCUUCAGUUCACAUCUCUUCCUGUAUUGUCUCUGGUAUUCUAAAUUUUGAAUCGAUGUUAUAAAGACGAUUUUGUCCUAAAUGAUUGGAGUUUUGAUUUCGAGUAGUAAUUCAGGCAGCCUCUCUGCAAUUUUCAUGGCAAAGGAGGCGUUAAACUGCUCGUAGAUCGAAUCGCUUAUGCUCUUCAGACUUGCUGAGGUUUCCUCUGAAGCUCGUCUAUACACAUACUGAUGAUGCCAGAAUGGUAAAUAAUUUGAAGCUGAAGAUGAAGAACGACCAUAUCUUAGCCUUUGUGUGGUGAUUUUUUUGGUGUUUUUUUUUAGAAACAGGUUAUUGUAGUUAUGAGAUUAAGAUUUUAAGGUCUUUCUACCUUUCUAAUUUUUGUAGCCUAUGCAUAGUUGCGAUGAUGUUAACCACCAAUGGUUAGUCUUGUUUGUGAAGGCUUUUCAAUUUGGAAAACAAGAACCUUUUGAGACUGGUAUGCCUA